CUUCAUUUAUAUGGAUAACCGUAGUAAUUCUGCAGCUAAUACAUGCGUUAUGUUGGGACUCUAUGGAACCUCAGUAUUAAAUCGUGCUUUAGAACCAUCCUUCGGGAUUGUGGUGAACAUGUUAACUGGUCGAAAUCGCUGGGUUGUACCCGCGAUAUCACUUCCAAGUUUCUGACCCAUCAGCUUGAUGGUAGUGUAUUGGACAACCAUGGCAUCCACGGGUAAACGGGGAAUUUGGGUUCGAUUCCGGAGAGGGAGCCUGGUAAACGGCUACCACUUCUACGGAAGGCAGCAGGCGCGUAAAUUAUCCAAUCCUGACUUAGGGAGAUGGUGACAAGAAAUAAUGAACUGGGAUUUAUCCCGGGGUUACAAUGGGCUUGAUUUGCAAACUUUUAUUUAGCGAGGAACAAUUGGAGGGCAAGUCUGGUGCCAGCAGCCGCGGUAAUUCCAGCUCCAAUAGUGUAUAUUAAUUCUGCUGCAGUUAUUCAAAGCUCGUAGUUGGACUUCUGAAUGUGGAGACAGGCGGGUGGCUACGGCUGCUGCCGGUCGCCUCAUUCAUCCUUCUGUUAACGUUGUUCGGGAUUGAGUUUUCGACUUCGGGCUCAGACGUUUUUACCUUUCUUCUAUCUCUUUCGAGCAAAUUAUAGUGUUUCAGGCAGGCGUGCGCCGGAAUACAUUAGCAUGGAAUAAUCGAUUGGACCAUGUAUUUCCCUUUGUAUUGGUUCACGAAGGGCGUGGUAAUGAUUAAUAGGAAUAGUUCGAAACGGGGGCCAAAGUAUUUAGCAUCUAGAGGUGAAAUUCUUUGAAAUUCGUAAAGACUAACGUAUGCGAAAGCAUUUGCCAUUUAUAUUUCUCCUUGUUAAUCAAGAGCGAAAGUUAGGGGAUCAAAGACGAUCAGAUACCGUCCUAGUCUUAACCAUAAACUUUGCCGACUAGGGAUCGGGGGACGUGCACAUUCCGCCUCCGGCACCUUACGAGAAAUCAAAGUCUUUUGGGUUCUGGGGGUAGUAUGGUCGCMAGGCUGAAACUUAAAGGAAUU
This 1039-nucleotide ribosomal RNA is filed under the name uncultured eukaryote. Its description in RNAcentral is "SSU rRNA". It matches the Rfam family "Eukaryotic small subunit ribosomal RNA", at positions 130 to 1165 of the family's 1831-position model. The record is from RNAcentral.